RNAcentral lists this ribosomal RNA (490 nucleotides) under uncultured bacterium. RNAcentral's name for it is "partial 16S ribosomal RNA". It matches the Rfam family "Bacterial small subunit ribosomal RNA", at positions 30 to 507 of the family's 1533-position model. The record is from RNAcentral.
AUUGAACGCUGGCGGCAGGCCUAACACAUGCAAGUCGAACGGUAACAGGAAGACGCUUGCUUCUUUGCUGACGAGUGGCGGACGGGUGAGUAAUGUCUGGGAAACUGCCUGAUGGAGGGGGAUAACUACUGGAAACGGUAGCUAAUACCGCAUAACGUCGCAAGACCAAAGAGGGGGACCUUCGGGCCUCUUGCCAUCGGAUGUGCCCAGAUGGGAUUAGCUAGUAGGGGGGGUAACGGCUCACCUAGGCGACGAACCCUAGCUGGUCUGAGAGGGUGACCAGCCACACUGGAACUGAGGCACGGUCCAGACUCCUACGGGAGGCAGCAGUGGGGAAUAUUGCACAAUGGGCGAAAGCCUGAUGCAGCCAUGCCGCGUGUAUGAAGAAGGCCUUCGGGUUGUAAAGUACUUUCAGCGGGGAGGAAGGGAGUAAAGUUAAUACCUUUGCUCAUUGACGUUACCCGCAGAAGAAGCACCGGCUAACUCCGUG